This 1575-nucleotide ribosomal RNA is filed under the name Escherichia coli. RNAcentral's name for it is "partial 23S ribosomal RNA". It matches the Rfam family "Bacterial large subunit ribosomal RNA", at positions 319 to 1882 of the family's 2925-position model. Lineage: Bacteria; Pseudomonadati; Pseudomonadota; Gammaproteobacteria; Enterobacterales; Enterobacteriaceae. The record is from RNAcentral.
AGUGUGUGUGUUAGUGGAAGCGUCUGGAAAGGCGCGCGAUACAGGGUGACAGCCCCGUACACAAAAAUACACAUAUUGUGAGCUCGAUGAGUAGGGCGGGACACGUGGUAUCCUGUCUGAAUAUGGGGGGACCAUCCUCCAAGGCUAAAUACUCCUGACUGACCGAUAGUGAACCAGUACCGUGAGGGAAAGGCGAAAAGAACCCCGGCGAGGGGAGUGAAAAAGAACCUGAAACCGUGUACGUACAAGCAGUGGGAGCACGCUUAGGCGUGUGACUGCGUACCUUUUGUAUAAUGGGUCAGCGACUUAUAUUCUGUAGCAAGGUUAACCGAAUAGGGGAGCCGAAGGGAAACCGAGUCUUAACUGGGCGUUAAGUUGCAGGGUAUAGACCCGAAACCCGGUGAUCUAGCCAUGGGCAGGUUGAAGGUUGGGUAACACUAACUGGAGGACCGAACCGACUAAUGUUGAAAAAUUAGCGGAUGACUUGUGGCUGGGGGUGAAAGGCCAAUCAAACCGGGAGAUAGCUGGUUCUCCCCGAAAGCUAUUUAGGUAGCGCCUCGUGAAUUCAUCUCCGGGGGUAGAGCACUGUUUCGGCAAGGGGGUCAUCCCGACUUACCAACCCGAUGCAAACUGCGAAUACCGGAGAAUGUUAUCACGGGAGACACACGGCGGGUGCUAACGUCCGUCGUGAAGAGGGAAACAACCCAGACCGCCAGCUAAGGUCCCAAAGUCAUGGUUAAGUGGGAAACGAUGUGGGAAGGCCCAGACAGCCAGGAUGUUGGCUUAGAAGCAGCCAUCAUUUAAAGAAAGCGUAAUAGCUCACUGGUCGAGUCGGCCUGCGCGGAAGAUGUAACGGGGCUAAACCAUGCACCGAAGCUGCGGCAGCGAUGCUUAUGCGUUGUUGGGUAGGGGAGCGUUCUGUAAGCCUGCGAAGGUGUGCUUUGAGGCAUGCUGGAGGUAUCAGAAGUGCGAAUGCUGACAUAAGUAACGAUAAAGCGGGUGAAAAGCCCGCUCGCCGGAAGACCAAGGGUUCCUGUCCAACGUUAAUCGGGGCAGGGUGAGUCGACCCCUAAGGCGAGGCCGAAAGGCGUAGUCGAUGGGAAACAGGUUAAUAUUCCUGUACUUGGUGUUACUGCGAAGGGGGGACGGAGAAGGCUAUGUUGGCCGGGCGACGGUUGUCCCGGUUUAAGCGUGUAGGCUGGUUUUCCAGGCAAAUCCGGAAAAUCAAGGCUGAGGCGUGAUGACGAGGCACUACGGUGCUGAAGCAACAAAUGCCCUGCUUCCAGGAAAAGCCUCUAAGCAUCAGGUAACAUCAAAUCGUACCCCAAACCGACACAGGUGGUCAGGUAGAGAAUACCAAGGCGCUUGAGAGAACUCGGGUGAAGGAACUAGGCAAAAUGGUGCCGUAACUUCGGGAGAAGGCACGCUGAUAUGUAGGUGAAGUCCCUUGCGGAUGGAGCUGAAAUCAGUCGAAGAUACCAGCUGGCUGCAACUGUUUAUUAAAAACACAGCACUGUGCAAACACGAAAGUGGACGUAUACGGUGUGACGCCUGCCCGGUGCCGGAAGGUUAAUU